This is a long non-coding RNA of Oxyura jamaicensis (ruddy duck), 2670 nucleotides long. RefSeq lists it as uncharacterized. The transcript has 3 exons. NCBI's taxonomy places the organism in Eukaryota, Metazoa, Chordata, Aves, Anseriformes, Anatidae. The record is from RefSeq and is a predicted model, not a curated record.
AUUAUUUUAUUUCAUACCCAUUGGAACAGGAUGAAAAGUAACGAAGUGAAAAGCGAAGAAGGUAGUUUGAUGAUAAGAAUGUGUUAACAGUUUUACAAAAACUUUUCUAAUUUUUAGGAUACAUAUGUUGGAUGGAUAACCAACUGAAUGAAUUGCAAUUGGCAGGCUGUGAAAUACCUGGCUUCUUCACUUGUCAGCUUUCUGGCCAUUUUUCUGAGAUGCAAACAUGAACUCAGCAAGUUUGUCCUUCAUCCCCCUCUCUUUCUUAGAGUUUUAUCAGGAACUCAGCAGAUGACUGCCUCUGUCUAUCAGGAGAGCAGAAUGACUGCAAGUAGAAAUGAUCAAGAAAAAACACAGAUCUUUAUUGUCCAAAUACUAGGCUGAAUGGCAGCAAGGAUGAAAUUAGCUUUUCUUUAUCACUUUUUGAUUAUCCCUUUCACCAGUUUGAAGUGUACUUGGAGAGGAGUUUGGUUGGUUGGUUGGUUGAUUGUUUCACUUGGAGCUCAUUUCUCUGGGACCUUCAGGCCCAUGCAGAGUUGGUAUUUGCUUAGAGAGAACAUGAUAAAUGUCUCUCUCAAGAGAAUAGGGUUAUAAUUGAGGGUCCUCAAUCAGGUCACAUAGAAGUACAAAUGUGGCCACUCUGAGGAGUUCUGUACCCUUUUCUGCAUUUACUUCCAAACAGGUUGUAACUGCAAACAUAUGGUGCAGUUGCAUUUGGAACAGGGAGAUGACAUCAGGACAAGAUGCUCUAAGGUCAGGAGAAAACUGUACACAAGUAAAAUGGAGAAGUUGAUCCAGGUGCAGAGGAAUGCUGGAUGGAAAGGAAUAAGCAGCAGAAUAAUUUAUCUGACACAUAUAAUUCACUGUGACCCACUUCCUCCAGAACUUCCAUAUGUGCAAUACUGAAACAGAAAGCAACUGCAUGAAGCAGACGUGCUCAAGGAGCUCUUUCUGACCUCAGUCUCCGCCAAGAAAACCAAAACUGGGACAGGGACUUUCUGUAACUUCCUUUCACAUCGCCGUGCAUGCUUUUACUUGUUCCUGGCUGUUCUCCCUGGUAGCAAGGGGAGAACGAGGACAAACACAGAGGAUGAGCAGUUCCUGUGGAGAGCUUGCUCCAAGGAUGGCCACAGCACCCUGCAGCACUAGGCCAACGCCAUAUCGGCAUUCUGGCACGUUCCUGGGGACGGUUUCGGGACCAGUUUGGGGUCCGUUUUUGGGCCUGGUGUCAAAGCAGCUUCAGGCUCCCUCUCCUCCCCCACGCCAGCUCCCUUCCCCUCCCCCCAUUCCAACGGCUGUUCUCCGAACUCUCUAGAGACUCCUCGUGCCCGAAGCCCCGGUUGCUAGGCAACACCAUUUACCUCACGCGCAUUGCCAUGGUGACAGCUCCCGGCGGGCGGGCCGCCAUGGCAGCUGCUCACACGGCGGCCGUCGGAGCCCCACACGGCUACACGGGGGGCACGGAACCGCCUCGCCUCACCUCAGGCAGGACCCCAGGCCACCCUCCCUUCCGUCUUGUGGCCGCAGGUAGCAAGGCCAGGCAGCACUCCCAGCACUGGCAGGCACAUUCCAGGACCACUGCCCUCUGACAAGACGUGUUUCAUAAAAGCACUGAACGGGCACUUGGGGAAGGCAAUUUGGGCAAAUUGUUUACUUCCAUAUAUGCCAUGUGUAGUGGGAACAGUUUUCUCCAGAGCUGCCAGAGGGACAUCAGGAGCACGCAUGUGGGCGCGCACCCAUACAUGUGUGCAUAGCCAAGAGAGGAGAGAUUGCAAAAGGAUCAUCCUGAGUGGGACUUUAGCCCUAAAAAUGCUUGCUCUCCUAUUCUAGGGAAACACUCUCUUACCGCUACUGGUGAAACAGCAAGUAAGCAAAGAAGGUAAAACCAUGGUGCUAUUCCUUAGCAAGAAGCAAAAUGGUAGAAUGGAACAGGUAGAAUGGAACACCAAAACCCCUCUAGCAACUGGAAGAUGACAGUUAAAAAAGCAGAGUGAGCAGAGUCACUAAAAAGACUGCAAGCAAAAUAAAAUUAAUCAUCCAAGCAAAACAAGGCAAACCUUUUGGCCCUUUGUAACAGGUAGGUGGCUUUCCUCGAUAAAUAGCAGCAAAUCUUUUUGAGUAUUUUUGUAUAAUAAAUCCAGUUCUUACAGUUACAAUGGGAAUAAGAUAAACAAUUUUGUUUUUCUGAAGUUGCUCUAAUGCCUUUGCUGUAUCUUACAUGUUUGCCAAGUGGUAGCUAUUUAGUUACUCACUGUUUUCACUGUUGGGUGACCAAAAAAGUGAAUGAUAGUGAACUUGUUCUUUCCACAACUGAUUAGAGAAGCCCUCAACAGUUUCAUGUUUCAGAAAGAAGUGAAACCCACAAGCAGGCUGGGAAGGGUAAAGCAAAAGUGAUAACAGAGCCCGGAGCAGCUAGAACGCUUUGAGAAGGGUAUCAUAUGAUUUCUUCUUGAGUGAAAUUUUAAGCCUUCUUAGCAGAUUUCUUGAAGUCCCAGAAGAGUCAUUAAAUUACAGAUUCUUUUCUCAGAUAGGGAUGUAUUUUUUUUUUCUUGCCAGAGAUAUUUUUGUUAGUGAAAUUACUUUCUGGUAUUAUGGUGUUUCUUUUGCCUUGCAUAGGACCUGUUUAUAAUCAGAGAAGUCAUAUUCAUUCUAUCCUAUUAAAUCACUAUU